UCCGGCUUAUCACCGGCAGUUUCUUUAGAGUGCCCAACUGAAUGAUGGCAACUAAAGACGAGGGUUGCGCUCGUUGCGGGACUUAACCCAACAUCUCACGACACGAGCUGACGACAGCCAUGCAGCACCUGUCACCGGCCAAUUGAUGAGCUCCGUCUCCGGAGCCCCGACCGGGAAGUCAAGGGCUGGUAAGGUUCUUCGCGUUGCCUCGAAUUAAACCACAUGCUCCACCGCUUGUGCGGGCCCCCGUCAAUUCCUUUGAGUUUCAGCCUUGCGGCCGUACUCCCCAGGCGGGGCACUUAAUGCGUUAGCUGCGACACCGAAGGGGUCGAUCCCACCGGCAUCUAGUGCCCAUAGUUUACGGCGUGGACUAC
RNAcentral lists this unclassified non-coding RNA (374 nucleotides) under uncultured bacterium. RNAcentral's name for it is "contains 16S-23S intergenic spacer region". The record is from RNAcentral.